This 74-nucleotide transfer RNA is filed under the name Capra hircus (goat). It matches the Rfam family "tRNA". Rfam says of the family: Transfer RNA (tRNA) molecules are approximately 80 nucleotides in length. Their secondary structure includes four short double-helical elements and three loops (D, anti-codon, and T loops). RNAcentral also lists the same sequence under 1 other name. The record is from Rfam by way of RNAcentral. Lineage: Eukaryota; Metazoa; Chordata; Mammalia; Artiodactyla; Bovidae.
UCCCCAGAGACUCAGAGGGUAAAAAAGUUCUGCCUGCAACGCAGAAGACCUGGGUUCGAUCCCUGGCUUGGGAA